This 253-nucleotide ribosomal RNA is filed under the name uncultured bacterium. Its description in RNAcentral is "partial 16S ribosomal RNA". It matches the Rfam family "Bacterial small subunit ribosomal RNA", at positions 524 to 776 of the family's 1533-position model. The record is from RNAcentral.
UACGGAGGGUGCAAGCGUUGUUCGGAAUCACUGGGCGUAAAGCGCGUGCAGGCGGCCGGGGAAGUCGGGUGUGAAAGCCCGCCGCUUAACGGAAGAAGUGCAUUUGAAACUACCCGGCUAGAGUUCGAGAGAGGAGGGCGGAAUUCCCGGUGUAGAGGUGAAAUUCGUAGAUAUCGGGAGGAACACCGGCGGCGAAGGCGGCUCUCUGGCCCGAUACUGACGCUGAGACGCGAAAGCGUGGGGAGCAAACAGG